Molecule: ribosomal RNA, 371 nt
Filed under: Vibrio parahaemolyticus
Lineage: Bacteria; Pseudomonadati; Pseudomonadota; Gammaproteobacteria; Vibrionales; Vibrionaceae
Description: partial 23S ribosomal RNA
Rfam family: Bacterial large subunit ribosomal RNA
Source: RNAcentral
GAAGACCAAGGGUUCCUGUCCAACGUUAAUCGGGGCAGGGUAAGUCGACCCCUAAGGCGAGGCCGAAAGGCGUAGUCGAUGGGAAACGGGUUAAUAUUCCCGUACUUCUUACAAUUGCGAUGGGGGGGACGGAGAAGGCUAGGUGGGCCUGGCGACGGUUGUCCAGGUUCAAGUGCGUAGGCUUAAGAGUUAGGUAAAUCCGGCUCUUUCUAAGGCUGAGACACGACGUCGAGCUACUACGGUAGUGAAGUCAUUGAUGCCAUGCUUCCAGGAAAAGCCUCUAAGCUUCAGAUUGUAAGGAAUCGUACCCCAAACCGACACAGGUGGUCGGGUAGAGAAUACCAAGGCGCUUGAGAGAACUCGGGUGAAGG